CGCCGUCAAGGCGAUGGGGUUCGCCUGAACCGCCCGACGCGUCGGGCUGAUGACCCCUACCGGGAG
Molecule: non-coding RNA, 66 nt
Filed under: Candidatus Rokuibacteriota
Lineage: Bacteria
Description: Candidatus Rokubacteria Fluoride sequence
Rfam family: Fluoride riboswitch aptamer (crcB RNA motif)
Source: RNAcentral